CUUCCGCUUUAUGCUGAGCUCAACAGUUCCAAACUUUGACAUUCACGGCUGUAGCCCCAUUCACUUCCAUUGCUUUCUGCCUGAUAUUGUCAGUGAUGCUGAAAGUGACAUGACAAGAGGACAUUGGCUGUCUUUAGGGACCGGGUUGACAAGUGGUUAUUGGAGUGAUUGAGUGGUGGUUGGAGUGAGGAAUAGGCUGCUAGAGGCUGCUGGAGCAACAAGACUCCCUGAAGCUGAGAUUGGAAAGGGCAGGCCAAGUACUUCCAUGGCAACAAGCAAGUUUUAGGUCAUGGCAUGAAGGCAGUGUGCUGUGCAGGAGCAUGGCCUCUCUCUGUAGUAGUGCCACUGCAUUGGCUGACUCCAUAAGGGAAUCGGUCGUCCUUGCCCGGAACAACUGCUCCACUUUGCUGAUGAGAUCGAAGGCCUCUUGUGAUGGACGGUAAAGGGCACCUCUCUUGAACUCCUUCAGUUGUAGCAGUACGCUACAUUUGCUAGUAGCACCAUCAUUGCUAUUGUCUGCAACAGCAUGCUGGCAUUCCUCACAACGCGAGUUACUGAUUACCCUCUUAACAAUAUAUCCUGCAAGGUAAUAUAAUACACAGGCAUCUGUUUUGGUUAAGGUAGGUGUUGCUGGGUCUAUCAGUUCCUCCAGCCUCAGACCAGGACUGCAGAUGGUGUCGAACCAGUGGUCUACCUUCUCAAGGAACCAAGAUGUUGUGAGGUAAGACUGUGGCCGUUGCUCCUCCUCAGCCAGGUAUUUCAGGCCAGCACUGGUCGCUCUACUGAAGACGUGUAUGGCAGGUGACAAUGACACCGAGAUUGAAUAAAUAUGUGCUGUUGGGGUCAGAUCUUUGAAAAGUUGGGAUCUCAUUUGUCUGCUGCAUUGAAGUUGGUCAACAACAAAAAUGGGAAUGAUUUUGCAGUCAUGAAGGAUAAAUUGGUAUGUACUGUGAUAGUAUGUACUGUGUCUCUGUGUUAAGGGCUGUUCACACCAGGAACUGUAACGAUAAAUGCGUCCACACUGACCAACAAUAACAAAAGUCUCUCCUUGUGUUGAUGAAUUUGCUGGCUAAAGUUCAAUGGAUUCUGAUUGCCUGUCAGCUUUUUAUUCUCAAAAUAACUCUUGACAGAUAUAGUUGGGAAUCACAUUUUUAGUGUUAUCA
Molecule: long non-coding RNA, 1163 nt
Organism: Alosa sapidissima (American shad)
Lineage: Eukaryota; Metazoa; Chordata; Actinopteri; Clupeiformes; Clupeidae
Exons: 4
Source: RefSeq, a predicted model, not a curated record